GCGGCGGUGGUGAAAUUGGUAGACACACCAUCUUGAGGGGGUGGCGCCGCGAGGCAUGGGAGUUCGAGUCUCCCCCGCCGCA
RNAcentral lists this transfer RNA (82 nucleotides) under Deltaproteobacteria bacterium. RNAcentral's name for it is "tRNA-Leu". It matches the Rfam family "tRNA". Rfam says of the family: Transfer RNA (tRNA) molecules are approximately 80 nucleotides in length. Their secondary structure includes four short double-helical elements and three loops (D, anti-codon, and T loops). Lineage: Bacteria; Pseudomonadati; Myxococcota; Myxococcia. The record is from RNAcentral.